UCACCUGGAACACAAUGAGACUCAAUGAGUGGGUUACUCAGGCUGCUCAUCUACUGAGCCCUGCUUUUGUCAGCAGUAUAUUGUAUAACUACUUACCACAAACCCAAGGCCCAAACAAGCUUUUAUUGAGCAGAAUAAUUUGUCGCCUGCUGUAAUUUCUGACGGAACCAAUUCAAGAGAUGUUCGCAACACGCAAAGAUUGAAGGAUUCAAGGACUCCAAUUUAUUCUAAGUACAUCUAAAAAUCCAACAAAGGGUUCAGCCAAAUGUGCAGUAUCCAAGGACAAAAACCAAUCAAUAUUAAUUGAAGAUCGAUUCAGCUGGUGAUUAUCCUUAGACAGCAUGCUUCUUAAAAAAUCUACAAGGAUGUGGCCAAACUAUGGAUAUUUUUCGAAAAAGGAUAUCAAUAUAAAAGUUGCCAUAACUUGGACAUUGCCAGGACUAUCAGGACUUGCUUUGACUUGCAGCAGCCUACUAAUUGGGACAUUGAAGGAUACAAGGACCUCUACGACUUUAACAAAGUCAGCCAAAUCUACUGCGCCCAAGGACAACAAAUUAAUAUUGUUAGAUGACCGCAUAUUGUUUUAAUGCAGAUCAAUGCAGCUGGAAAAUACCCCAAUCCAUUUUGAUUCUGCAAAUCAGCUGCACACAAGGACAACGAAUGUGUAGAUAUAUUCUUAGAUGACCGCAAAAAGUUUAGUUGCAGAUCGAUGCAGCUGAUUGAAGGAUUUAUGGACUCCAAUGGAUUCUAAGGACCUCUACAGCUCCAACAAGGAUAUCCCGACAAGGAUCGGAAGGAUAUUUAGCCAAAUAUAGCUAUUUUAAGUAAAAAUAAGAAAUUCAUUAAGAA
Molecule: non-coding RNA, 849 nt
Organism: Drosophila virilis
Lineage: Eukaryota; Metazoa; Arthropoda; Insecta; Diptera; Drosophilidae
Source: RefSeq, a predicted model, not a curated record